UAGCCAAUUGACAUGUGAAUUUCUGAAAAUCUAGUAGACUGAAUCCUACUCAUGUUGUUAAUUCUCUUUCUGAAUUUUCCCUGCACUUUUUCUCAACUUCAGGAAGAGAAGUAAGGUUAUGCCAGUCUUAGAGCAUAAUAGCUCAUUUUCUCCGAUGGAAAACUCAAAGCACAGCAGGAAAUUUAUUUUGUUCUUAUCAUCAGAACAGUGA
This 211-nucleotide long non-coding RNA is filed under the name Struthio camelus australis. Its description in RNAcentral is "lncRNA (ENSSCUG00000016145.1)". The record is from RNAcentral. Lineage: Eukaryota; Metazoa; Chordata; Aves; Struthioniformes; Struthionidae.